GACGAACGCUGGCGGCGUGCUUAACACAUGCGAGUCGAGCGGUAAGGCCCUUUCGGGGGUACACGAGCGGCGAACGGGUGAGUAACACGUGGGUGACCUGCCCUCAGCUCUGGGAUAAGCCUGGGAAACCGGGUCUAAUACCGGAUAUGACUCCAUGACGCAUGUUGUGGGGUGGAAAGCCUUGUGCGGCUGAGGAUGGGCCCGCGGCCUAUCAGCUUGUUGGUGGGGUGAUGGCCUACCAAGGCGACGACGGGUAGCCGGCCUGAGAGGGCGACCGGCCACACUGGGACUGAGACACGGCCCAGACUCCUACGGGAGGCAGCAGUGGGGAAUCUUGCGCAAUGGGCGAAAGCCUGACGCAGCGACGCCGCGUGAGGGAUGACGGCCUGGUGUAAC
Molecule: ribosomal RNA, 396 nt
Filed under: uncultured bacterium
Lineage: Bacteria
Description: bacterial SSU rRNA
Rfam family: Bacterial small subunit ribosomal RNA
Source: RNAcentral